GGGCGUGUAACUCAGUGGUAGAGUGCUCGCUUUGCACCGAUGUAAGAUCUUACAAUGUGAGGUUUGCGAGAAGCCCAGGGUUCGACUCCCUGCUCGUCCA
Molecule: transfer RNA, 100 nt
Filed under: Annulohypoxylon nitens
Lineage: Eukaryota; Fungi; Ascomycota; Sordariomycetes; Xylariales; Hypoxylaceae
Description: tRNA-Ala
Rfam family: tRNA
About the family: Transfer RNA (tRNA) molecules are approximately 80 nucleotides in length. Their secondary structure includes four short double-helical elements and three loops (D, anti-codon, and T loops).
Source: RNAcentral